RNAcentral lists this transfer RNA (29 nucleotides) under Pagrus major (red seabream). RNAcentral describes it as "partial tRNA-Pro". The record is from RNAcentral. Lineage: Eukaryota; Metazoa; Chordata; Actinopteri; Spariformes; Sparidae.
CAAAGAAUAGUUUAAUGUAGAACAUUAGC